GCUUAUGUAGCUCAGUCGGUAGAGCACUCCCAUGGUAAGGGAAAGGUCACCGGUUCAAAUCCGGUCGCAAGCU
This 73-nucleotide transfer RNA is filed under the name Monomastix sp. OKE-1. Its description in RNAcentral is "tRNA-Thr". It matches the Rfam family "tRNA". Rfam says of the family: Transfer RNA (tRNA) molecules are approximately 80 nucleotides in length. Their secondary structure includes four short double-helical elements and three loops (D, anti-codon, and T loops). The record is from RNAcentral. Lineage: Eukaryota; Viridiplantae; Chlorophyta; Mamiellophyceae; Monomastigales; Monomastigaceae.